RNAcentral lists this ribosomal RNA (246 nucleotides) under uncultured bacterium. Its description in RNAcentral is "partial 16S ribosomal RNA". It matches the Rfam family "Bacterial small subunit ribosomal RNA", at positions 523 to 769 of the family's 1533-position model. The record is from RNAcentral.
AUACGUAGGUGGCAAGCGUUGUCCGGAAUUACUGGGUGUAAAGGGAGCGUAGGCGGGCAGGCAAGUCAGGCGUUAAAUCCAUCGGCUCAACCGGUGGCUGCGCUUGAAACUGCAGGUCUUGAGUGAAGUAGAGGCAGGCGGAAUUCCUAGUGUAGCGGUGAAAUGCGUAGAUAUUAGGAGGAACACCAGUGGCGAAGGCGGCCUGCUGGGCUUUAACUGACGCUGAGGCUCGAAAGCGUGGGUAGC